Molecule: ribosomal RNA, 763 nt
Filed under: uncultured Streptococcus sp.
Lineage: Bacteria; Bacillati; Bacillota; Bacilli; Lactobacillales; Streptococcaceae
Description: bacterial SSU rRNA
Rfam family: Bacterial small subunit ribosomal RNA
Source: RNAcentral
GACGAACGCUGGCGGCGUGCCUAAUACAUGCAAGUAGAACGCUGAAGGAGGAGCUUGCUUCUCUGGAUGAGUUGCGAACGGGUGAGUAACGCGUAGGUAACCUGCCUGGUAGCGGGGGAUAACUAUUGGAAACGAUAGCUAAUACCGCAUAAGAGUGGAUGUUGCAUGACAUUUGCUUAAAAGGUGCACUUGCAUCACUACCAGAUGGACCUGCGUUGUAUUAGCUAGUUGGUGGGGUAACGGCUCACCAAGGCGACGAUACAUAGCCGACCUGAGAGGGUGAUCGGCCACACUGGGACUGAGACACGGCCCAGACUCCUACGGGAGGCAGCAGUAGGGAAUCUUCGGCAAUGGACGGAAGUCUGACCGAGCAACGCCGCGUGAGUGAAGAAGGUUUUCGGAUCGUAAAGCUCUGUUGUAAGAGAAGAACGAGUGUGAGAGUGGAAAGUUCACACUGUGACGGUAUCUUACCAGAAAGGGACGGCUAACUACGUGCCAGCAGCCGCGGUAAUACGUAGGUCCCGAGCGUUGUCCGGAUUUAUUGGGCGUAAAGCGAGCGCAGGCGGUUAGAUAAGUCUGAAGUUAAAGGCUGUGGCUUAACCAUAGUAGGCUUUGGAAACUGUUUAACUCGAGUGCAAGAGGGGAGAGUGGAAUUCCAUGUGUAGCGGUGAAAUGCGUAGAUAUAUGGAGGAACACCGGUGGCGAAAGCGGCUCUCUGGCUUGUAACUGACGCUGAGGCUCGAAAGCGUGGGGAGCAAACAGG